UGACUGUUGAAUUGUCCCAACGGACAGACGGCUGCAGCAAGCAGGAGCAGGAGGCCAAGGCUGCAACCCCUGGAGGCAGGGCCCUGCCUUUGAACAUCCGGUUCAAUUCCAGGGGCUUGGUGUCGCACUAGGAUCUCAUCGCGAACGGGUAGGGUCAGGAAGCAGCCCGGGUUUGCGCUUCACCGGAGGGGAGGCGCGACAGUCCCGAGCCCCAGGUGCGCGUCACUCCCCGCUGCCCCCCUGCAGCCGAGCCUGGUGGGGCGGGACGCGGGCACCUGCGGACGCUGGCUGCUCCGUAGGCUCCGCUCCGCUCCGCGUCCGCUGCAGCCCGGCGCGAGCGCUGCCCACCGGCUCCCGCCUCCCCACCUCCACGCCCCGGAGUCGCGCGGACCCCGCGCACUUACGGGGCUCCGCUCCGCCGCCCGCGCGCUUCCCGCGGGGUCCAUGGCGCUUCCGGACCUGCGAGUCCGGCCGCAGCGCCGCCCAGAAAAUGGACGCCGGCGGCUGGGCCCGGACGCCCCGGUCUGCCCCUGGUGCAGUGCAGGCCGGACGGUCGCUCGACCUCGGGCGCCGACGCGCAGGGCUUCCGGGACGCUGCAGGCCGCGAGGCUCCCGCACCCCCCGGCGCCACUGCGGCAGAGCCAGGCUCGCACAGAUGCUGCGCAGCCACCGAGCAGGCCCCGGGCACCCUAUGCAGUUUUAACCCGCACCAAAUUCUGAGAACAGGGUGUCACCUGUGCUUUCUCAUGGCUGUCAGGGGACGCCUGGAUUAUUUCCCACCAUGGUAUAAGAACUGUUUCAUGCAAUGAAAAAAAUAAAAGCCACCGACUGCCCGCUGACAUCCUUCCCACACAGAUUCGCAGUGUGGCACCUACUGCCCCACGCACACCUAAGUGCAGGUGUUUGUUUUGAACCAUCC
This 919-nucleotide long non-coding RNA is filed under the name Mus musculus (house mouse). Its description in RNAcentral is "long non-coding RNA chr9:96719381-96720300". The record is from RNAcentral. Lineage: Eukaryota; Metazoa; Chordata; Mammalia; Rodentia; Muridae.